UUGGCAUGAUGAUGAUAGUUUUGAAUAGAUUCAUAUGAUGAAUCUAAUCCUCCUACUCAUUCUGA
Molecule: non-coding RNA, 65 nt
Organism: Vigna angularis (adzuki bean)
Lineage: Eukaryota; Viridiplantae; Streptophyta; Magnoliopsida; Fabales; Fabaceae
Source: Rfam